AUGCCGCGGUGAAUACGUUCCCGGGUCUUGUACACACCGCCCGUCACACCACGAGAGUUGGUAACACCCGAAGUCGGUGAGGUAACCGUAAGGAGCCAGCCGCCGAAGGUGGGACCAAUGAUUGGGGUGAAGUCGUAACAAGGUAGCCGUAUCGGAAGGUGCGGCUGGAUCACCUCCUUUCU
This 182-nucleotide ribosomal RNA is filed under the name Gracilibacillus halotolerans. RNAcentral describes it as "partial 16S ribosomal RNA". It matches the Rfam family "Bacterial small subunit ribosomal RNA", at positions 1354 to 1533 of the family's 1533-position model. The record is from RNAcentral. Lineage: Bacteria; Bacillati; Bacillota; Bacilli; Caryophanales; Bacillaceae. RNAcentral also lists the same sequence under 1 other name.